Molecule: ribosomal RNA, 253 nt
Filed under: uncultured bacterium
Lineage: Bacteria
Description: partial 16S ribosomal RNA
Rfam family: Bacterial small subunit ribosomal RNA
Source: RNAcentral
UACGUAGGGACCGAGCGUUGUCCGGAAUCAUUGGGCGUAAAGCGUGUGUAGGCGGGCGGGCAAGUACCUUGUGAAAUCCCACGGCUCAACCGUGGAACGGCUGGGUAUACUGCCUGUCUUGAGCCAACUAGGGGCGAGCGGAACAGACGGUGGAGCGGUGAAAUGCGUAGAUAUCGUCUGGAACGCCAAAGGUGAAAACAGCUCGCUGGGGUUGUGCUGACGCUGAGACACGAAAGCCAGGGGAGCGAACGGG